CUUUAUUGGAGAGUUUGAUCCUGGCUCAGGAUGAACGCUGGCGGCGUGCCUAAUACAUGCAAGUCGAGCGAAUGGAUUGAGAGCUUGCUCUCAAGAAGUUAGCGGCGGACGGG
This 113-nucleotide ribosomal RNA is filed under the name Bacillus thuringiensis. Its description in RNAcentral is "partial 16S ribosomal RNA". It matches the Rfam family "Bacterial small subunit ribosomal RNA", at positions 1 to 106 of the family's 1533-position model. RNAcentral also lists the same sequence under 7 other names. The record is from RNAcentral. Lineage: Bacteria; Bacillati; Bacillota; Bacilli; Caryophanales; Bacillaceae.